RNAcentral lists this non-coding RNA (337 nucleotides) under Paenibacillus sp. P22. Lineage: Bacteria; Bacillati; Bacillota; Bacilli; Caryophanales; Paenibacillaceae. The record is from RNAcentral.
UCAAAUGCGAUGAAGAGAAGAGUAAGCAGAUCCGUUAUCUCCGCAAGAAAGCAUGCUGCUUUCCUUGCGGCCCGCGUGCAGGCGCAGCCGGUAGGAAGAGGCGGCGCAGCCCGGUCAGAGAGCUCCGGCAGCUGAGAAGGAGCAGAUAGCGAUUUGCCGAAUCAAGCCUCCGAGCUUCACAUCGGAACCUGCCCGGCGGGCGAUGGUGUGACGGGAGCUCCUGUUACAGAGCUGGAGUAUAAGCCUUCCUACCGGGAUUGCCGUACUCGACGAGGCCUGCAUGGCGACAUGGAGGCACAACUGGGGUGGCACCGCGACGACAAGUCUCGCCCCCAAG